This 1081-nucleotide ribosomal RNA is filed under the name Pseudoperonospora cubensis. RNAcentral's name for it is "bacterial LSU rRNA". It matches the Rfam family "Bacterial large subunit ribosomal RNA", at positions 1851 to 2925 of the family's 2925-position model. The record is from RNAcentral. Lineage: Eukaryota; Oomycota; Peronosporomycetes; Peronosporales; Peronosporaceae.
UCUGACGCCUGCCCGGUGCUGGAAGGUUAAGAGGACCGGUUAGCCGCAAGGCGAAGCUGAGAAUUUAAGCCCCAGUAAACGGCGGUGGUAACUAUAACCAUCCUAAGGUAGCGAAAUUCCUUGUCGGGUAAGUUCCGACCUGCACGAAUGGCGUAACGACUUCCCAACUGUCUCAACCGCGAACUCGGCGAAAUUGCAUUACGAGUAAAGAUGCUCGUUACGCGCAGCAGGACGGAAAGACCCCGUGACCUUUACUACAGCUUGGUAUUGGUGUUCGGUGUGGCUUGUGUAGGAUAGGUGGGAGACUUUGAAGCGGUGACGCCAGUUACCGUGGAGUCAUUGUUGAAAUACCACUCUGGUCACUCUGGAUAUCUAACUUCGAACCGUAAUCCGGUUCAGGGACAGUGCCUGGUGGGUAGUUUAACUGGGGCGGUUGCCUCCCAAAAAGUAACGGAGGCGCCCAAAGGUUCCCUCAACCUGGUUGGCAAUCAGGUGUCGAGUGUAAGUGCACAAGGGAGCUUGACUGUGAGACUGACAGGUCGAGCAGGGACGAAAGUCGGGACUAGUGAUCCGGCAGUGGCUUGUGGAAGCGCUGUCGCUCAACGGAUAAAAGGUACCUCGGGGAUAACAGGCUGAUCUUGCCCAAGAGUCCAUAUCGACGGCAUGGUUUGGCACCUCGAUGUCGGCUCGUCGCAUCCUGGGGCUGGAGUAGGUCCCAAGGGUUGGGCUGUUCGCCCAUUAAAGCGGUACGCGAGCUGGGUUUAGAACGUCGUGAGACAGUUCGGUCCCUAUCUACCGUGGGCGCUGGAAAUUUGAGAGGAUCUGCUCCUAGUACGAGAGGACCAGAGUGGACGAACCUCUGGUGUACCGGUUGUGACGCCAGUCGCAUCGCCGGGUAGCUAUGUUCGGAAGGGAUAACCGCUGAAAGCAUCUAAGCGGGAAGCCUACCUCAAGAUAAGAUUUCCCUAGGACUUUAUGUCCUCUAAAGAGCCGUUCGAGACUAGGACGUUGAUAGGUUGGAUGUGGAAGCAUAGUGAUAUGUGAAGCUGACCAAUACUAAUUGCUCGUGAGGCUUGACUAU